RNAcentral lists this ribosomal RNA (254 nucleotides) under uncultured bacterium. Its description in RNAcentral is "partial 16S ribosomal RNA". It matches the Rfam family "Bacterial small subunit ribosomal RNA", at positions 524 to 776 of the family's 1533-position model. The record is from RNAcentral.
UACGUAGGGUGCGAGCGUUGUCCGGAAUUAUUGGGCGUAAAGAGCUCGUAGGCGGUCUGUCGCGUCGAUCGUGAAAACUUGGGGCUUAACCCUGAGCUUGCGGUCGAUACGGGCAUGACUGGAGUUCGGCAGGGGAGACUGAAAUUCCUGGUGUAGCGGUGAAAUGCGCAGAUAUCAGGAGGAACAUCAGUGGCGAAGGCGGCUGCCUGGCCCAAUACUGACACUCAGGUGCGACAGCGUGGGGAGCAAACAGG